UACGGAGGAUGCGAGCGUUAUCCGGAUUUAUUGGGUUUAAAGGGUGCGUAGGCGGACGCUUAAGUCAGCGGUAAAAUUGCGGGGCUCAACCUCGUCGAGCCGUUGAAACUGGGUGCCUUGAGUGGGCGAGAAGUACGCGGAAUGCGUGGUGUAGCGGUGAAAUGCAUAGAUAUCACGCAGGACUCCGAUUGCGAAGGCAGCGUACCGGCGCCCUACUGACGCUGAAGCACGAAGGCGUGGGUAUCGAACAGG
Molecule: ribosomal RNA, 252 nt
Filed under: uncultured bacterium
Lineage: Bacteria
Description: partial 16S ribosomal RNA
Rfam family: Bacterial small subunit ribosomal RNA
Source: RNAcentral